Long non-coding RNA from Cyclopterus lumpus (lumpfish), 1346 nucleotides. RefSeq lists it as uncharacterized. NCBI's taxonomy places the organism in Eukaryota, Metazoa, Chordata, Actinopteri, Perciformes, Cyclopteridae. The transcript is spliced from 2 exons. The record is from RefSeq and is a predicted model, not a curated record.
UGUUGGGGAUUUAUAACAAUGACACAUUUCUGUUCCCAAACAAAACGUUUCAAUACUGUUGGGGGUUUAUUAGGGAUUAGAGUUUGCGGCUCGUCGUCCAAAAAUCUGCCUGAAAUUCCAAACACGUGGUAAAGAAAACCCACGGCCGCCUUCUUAGUUUCGGCAGGGGGCGGGGUUUAAUUUAUACAUCCACGAGCCCGAAGGGUCGAGAUGAUUCUCGCUCCCUCCGAAUGGUUCCGAUCUCAGCCGAUCUCCUGCACCGGCGGUAGUGCUGCGUUUUAGCUGCGUGUCCUUCUCGCGUCCACACCGCCCGUCUCUGACACUAUUUCCAUCAUGGUGGACAUUUUGAUGUUGAUGUUUUUCGCCAUCAUUGGCCUCGUUUUCCUCUCCUACAUCAUCUACUUGCUGUGAUGAUGAUGAAGCGUCCUGCUCGGCCACACAAACGGUUGCAGCACAGUCAUUCAGAGGAUGUGUGUCUUUCCUAUCAUGCAUCCCUGGUUUCCAUCAUGGGCAAAUGGGAGAAGAGCCGGGUCCGGCCACGGUGGUUUCCCCAGUGGAGCUCUCCUGUAGGAGGGGCACAGCAAUGAGAUAAACAAAUGGACAAGAAGUGGAAGCCCUCGUUUCUCCUCCUUUUUUAUUAGGUCAGGAUCCUCCUACAAAACGUCACUACUCCCAAGACCUCCCACUUAUUUGCAAUCAGUCUGACCAAUGCAUUAUCUAUGCUACCCAAGGUUGUGCAUGUCUCUCUUUAAGAGGAGACGUGUCACCUCUGCACAAGUCCUCUACAUCCAUGGAUGCAGGACGGUUUUGUAGUGUUGAGCGUAAUACAGGUGUAGAGUUUGCCUUUCUAACAACACUGUGAGCUCAUUGUUGGCUCCAACUGUAAUGUGUUAUGUUCCGUUUGACCGUAUCAUCCUUUGUGGCCAACCCGUGUGUGCUCAUGUUCUGCCUUGGUUGAGUCAGCCUUCACAUCAGUGUUAUUAUAUUACUUUAUUCACGUGUUGCCAAUAUGUUCCUUUUCCUCACUACUAUCAAGAUUCUCUGUCAGGUUAAAGCCAAGGGGAAUAUGUUCAGUUAUAUGACUCAGUGUUCUGUACAUUAUGUGUUUGUCUGUUUUUGUUCAUCACGUUUGGCUGCAAAUGACAUCCACGGGGAGCAAUGAUGUCAUUUCAGAAAUACAUCAACCAUAUAGGCUCUUCUCAGUUUUAGCUCCAAACCUCAUAUUUAUAUAUAUAUAUGAUGUGUUAUGUUACUGAUAUUACGUUUACUGAUGCACUGAUGAUUUUUUGAGUUUAAUGACGAUAUUUCACAUGACUUGUCUAAUAAAGAUGAUUUCAGUAAACCCA